CCACCGUCGAGUUCUCUCGCCGAGUCCUCUCCCUGCUCGCUCGUCCUCGGUUCCGGCCAGAUCUUAUGCGCGUGAUUUUGAAGCUCUGCGCAUUCAUCGUGUUGCGUUGUGUGCCGAUAUUAUCUCUCGGCAGACCUCGCCGUCGACCAUGUUCAAGUGCUUGCUUGGCUCCUCACCUCCUUUGCAUCCUCCUCGGUAGACCGCUUGCUCUGCUUCAGCUCGCGUCCAUGGAUGUCGUGCCGCGCUAUCAUCACCUCCUUUUAUGAAUUCAAUCCCCACUGUCGUCGCUGCUACGUGCCUCGUUGCGUGCUUACCGGGUGUCGUCUGUUGUACCCCAGCACUCGUGCUUGCCCCUAGCUUGCGUUAGCGCUCGCGCGCCUGCUUGUUGUCAUUGCGGCACACUCGCUCUUCGUCCAUCGGGCUUCGCGCAGGCUCGCCUUUGCUGUCGAGCUGUUGAACCCGUCCUCCCUUGCUCGUGACUUUGUCGUCGCCAGCUCACUCCAGACUCGAUCUCGUCGUCGUUCCGUGCGUCAUCAAGAAAUCCCAAGAAUCGGGUGAAGACGAAGCUAGCAGCGUGAUGUUCACCAAGUACUCGACGUAAGGGCUGAACCAGAAUCCUUGUCGUGUUCGCGGAUAGCGCGUCAGAGUUAGUAUGGUAAACCAAUUCAUAUUUUUGUUAGCUUAAUUAUUGGCUUGAUGAAUAGAUUGUGUACAUAAGUAUAAAGUGGUCGUGUCAAGCGAAACUCAAGUUUAAAAUGAUUAGUGUGCAAGGAGAAUUAAUAGCGUGAAGAAUUGAUUUAGUAAUCCAAAUGAUUAUCC
RNAcentral lists this long non-coding RNA (819 nucleotides) under Zea mays. RNAcentral's name for it is "drought responsive lncRNA". The record is from RNAcentral. Lineage: Eukaryota; Viridiplantae; Streptophyta; Magnoliopsida; Poales; Poaceae.